Molecule: ribosomal RNA, 343 nt
Filed under: Clostridium sp. CECRI-17/07
Lineage: Bacteria; Bacillati; Bacillota; Clostridia; Eubacteriales; Clostridiaceae
Description: partial 16S ribosomal RNA
Rfam family: Bacterial small subunit ribosomal RNA
Source: RNAcentral
CCCCCUUUUGAGGACGCGCCCAAUACUCUCCUCCCGGGAAACAACAGGAGGAGGGGGGGGAACAUAAAAUAAUCAUGCCCCUUAUGUUGGGGGAAACUCAGCCCUCAAUGGCCGUCCAAAGGGAUGCAAGAUCGAGAGGUGGAGCAAAUCUCAAAAAAGCUGUUCUCAGUUCGGAUUGUAGUCUGCAACUCGCCUACAUGAAGCGGAAUUACUAGUAAUCGGGAAUCAGAAUGUUGCGGUGAAUGCGUUCCGGGGUCUUGAACACACCGCCCGUCACACCAUGAGAGUUGGUACCACCCGAAGAAGGUGAGCAGGGAACCAGAUUCACUCAGUGAGUAGCUAU